This 255-nucleotide long non-coding RNA is filed under the name Homo sapiens (human). Its description in RNAcentral is "non-protein coding lnc-NBN-4:1". The record is from RNAcentral. Lineage: Eukaryota; Metazoa; Chordata; Mammalia; Primates; Hominidae.
ACAUAGCAGAAUAUAUCGAGACCCAUGUCAAGAACUACAGAACUGCCGCUUUUGACAGCUGCUUCCCCAACCAGAGCCAGUUCAGGAACUGCUGGCAGAACUACCCAGAUUUCUACCACUGUGGAAAGGUAAUGAUGUCUGAAGAGAGUGAUGUCUCUGGGUGCAAAUGGUAGUGGGAAUGUGUACAAAUCCCCCAGCAUCAUAUUCUGGGUCUUAACCUGGGGUGACCACGGGGCAGAAGCCACAAUUCCUGGA